Molecule: transfer RNA, 72 nt
Filed under: Ixodes scapularis (black-legged tick)
Lineage: Eukaryota; Metazoa; Arthropoda; Arachnida; Ixodida; Ixodidae
Description: tRNA-Gln for anticodon CUG
Rfam family: tRNA
About the family: Transfer RNA (tRNA) molecules are approximately 80 nucleotides in length. Their secondary structure includes four short double-helical elements and three loops (D, anti-codon, and T loops).
Source: RNAcentral
GGUCUCAUGGUGUAACGGUUAGCACUCUGGACUCUGAAUCCAGCAGUACGAGUUCAAAUCUCGUUGAGACCU